This 497-nucleotide ribosomal RNA is filed under the name uncultured bacterium. RNAcentral's name for it is "partial 16S ribosomal RNA". It matches the Rfam family "Bacterial small subunit ribosomal RNA", at positions 28 to 507 of the family's 1533-position model. The record is from RNAcentral.
GAUGAACGCUGGCGGCGUGCCUAAUACAUGCAAGUCGAGCGAACAGACGAGGAGCUUGCUCCUCUGACGUUAGCGGCGGACGGGUGAGUAACACGUGGAUAACCUACCUAUAAGACUGGGAUAACUUCGGGAAACCGGAGCUAAUACCGGAUAAUAUAUUGAACCGCAUGGUUCAAUAGUGAAAGACGGUUUUGCUGUCACUUAUAGAUAGAUCCGCGCCGCAUUAGCUAGUUGGUAAGGUAACAGCUUACCAAGGCAACGAUGCGUAGCCGACCUGAGAGGGUGAUCGGCCACACUGGAACUGAGACACGGUCCAGACUCCUACGGGAGGCAGCAGUAGGGAAUCUUCCGCAAUGGGCGAAAGCCUGACGGAGCAACGCCGCGUGAGUGAUGAAGGUCUUCGGAUCGUAAAACUCUGUUAUUAGGGAAGAACAAAUGUGUAAGUAACUAUGCACGUCUUGACGGUACCUAAUCAGAAAGCCACGGCUAACUACGUG